This 492-nucleotide ribosomal RNA is filed under the name uncultured bacterium. RNAcentral's name for it is "partial 16S ribosomal RNA". It matches the Rfam family "Bacterial small subunit ribosomal RNA", at positions 29 to 507 of the family's 1533-position model. The record is from RNAcentral.
AGUGAACGCUGGCGGUAGGCCUAACACAUGCAAGUCGAACGGCAGCACAGUAAGAGCUUGCUCUUACGGGUGGCGAGUGGCGGACGGGUGAGGAAUACAUCGGAAUCUACUUUUUCGUGGGGGAUAACGUAGGGAAACUUACGCUAAUACCGCAUACGACCUACGGGUGAAAGCAGGGGAUCUUCGGACCUUGCGCGAUUGAAUGAGCCGAUGUCGGAUUAGCUAGUUGGCGGGGUAAAGGCCCACCAAGGCGAUGAUCCGUAGCUGGUCUGAGAGGAUGAUCGGCCACACUGGAACUGAGACACGGUCCAGACUCCUACGGGAGGCAGCAGUGGGGAAUGUUGGACAAUGGGCGCAAGCCUGAUCCAGCCAUACCGCGUGGGUGAAGAAGGCCUUCGGGUUGUAAAGCCCUUUUGUUGGGAAAGAAAAGCAGCAGGUUAAUACCCCGCUGUUCUGACGGUACCCAAAGAAUAAGCACCGGCUAACUUCGUG